UGAAAGCGGGGGACCGUAAGGCCUCGCGCUAUUGGAGCGGCCGAUGUCUGAUUAGCUAGUUGGCGGGGUAAAACCCACCAAGGCGACGAUCAGUAGCUGGUCUGAGAGGACGAUCAGCCACACUGGGACUGAGACACGGCCCAGACUCCUACGGGAGGCAGCAGUGGGGAAUUUUGGACAAUGGGGGCAACCCUGAUCCAGCAAUGCCGCGUGUGCGAAGAAGGCCUUCGGGUUGUAAAGCACUUUUGUCAGGGAAGAAAUCUUUCGGGCUAAUACCCCUGGAAGGAUGACGGUACCUGAAGAAUAAGCACCGGCUAACUACGUGCCAGCAGCCGCGGUAAUACGUAGGGUGCAAGCGUUAAUCGGAAUUACUGGGCGUAAAAGCGUGCGCAGGCGGUUUGCUAAGACAGUUGUGAAAUCCCCCGGGGCUUAACCUGGGAACUGCAAUUGUGACUGGCAGCUAGAGUACGGCAGAGGGGGGUGGAAUUCCUGGUGUAGCAGUGAAAUGCGUAGAG
This 515-nucleotide ribosomal RNA is filed under the name uncultured beta proteobacterium. RNAcentral's name for it is "bacterial SSU rRNA". It matches the Rfam family "Bacterial small subunit ribosomal RNA", at positions 201 to 695 of the family's 1533-position model. Lineage: Bacteria; Pseudomonadati; Pseudomonadota; Betaproteobacteria. The record is from RNAcentral.